UCUGCACAUGUGUAUGACCAGCAUUUCAUUAGCUCUUGGGCCAAAUUUGUCAUUAUAGAGCCUAAGAUGCCAGCAUUGCUCUCAGGCUGUUAUUAUUUUAUUAUACCUGAGAUGCCAGCAUUAUCUGCAGGGAACAUAUUAGGAGUGUAUGCGGAUUCUAUUUUUCACAGUUUAUUUUAUGUUGAUGGAAUUAAAUUGUAUUUAUUCAGCUGACUUAUUUUAGCUAAAUAUUUGGUACUAUUAAGUACCUAAACUUAUCUUUUCCCCCUUUGUUAUUUAUUUAUCCGCUCACUGAGUAUGUUGUACUCACCCCUUAUAUUUCUUUUAAUAUUUCAGUUCCUUUUUGGUGAUCCGCUCAGCAGUCCUCAUCUCCUAGUUUAUCCUUCCUUCCACAUCGUCCACUCAGAGUCUAGAGGAGGUCGGACCAAUCUUAGGUCUUUUGUUAUUUCUUUUUGUAAUUUUGUUAGAUCAUGUAUAGAUUGUACAGCCCAAUGAAGAAGGUAUUGUGUUGUUGUAAAUGUAUUAUGGAUUGACUAGUCCAGCUUUCAGUUUUCUCUCCUAUAUGUUUUAUAAUUUGGAAUUAUAGCAGGUUACAUGUUUUUAUAUGUAUAAAUAUCAGGGGAAGUUUUGUCAGUUUUCCGGGUCAUAUCAGUCUCUACAGUUUGGGGUUUGGGUGUGACAAUUUUUGGUAUCAUAUCAAUCUCUACAGUUUGUGUUGUUAAGUUGGGCAACCAUGAGUUGUUAGUGGAUCUAAUUCCUUUGUGUCUACAAGAUCUGGAUGUCAUCCUAGGUAUGGACUGGUUAUCCCGUCAUCAUGCCACAAUAGAUUGCUUUGAGAAAUCAGUGGUAUUUAAUAGUCCAGAAGGGUCUAAGUUCACUUUCUUUGGGGAGAGGCGUUUACUUCCUUCUUAUGUGAUUUCUGCCAUGACUACUAGGAAGUUGCUUUGGAAGGGUUGUCAAGCAUACUUAGCCUAUGUGAUGGACAGUAGUCGGGAAGGACCUAAAUUGGAAGAUAUACCAGUAGUAAGCGAGUUUCCUGAUGUAUUUCCUGAAGAGCUUCCUGGGUUGCCUCCAGAUAGAGAGAUUGAAUUCUCUAUUGAUUUAAAUCCAGGUACAGCUCCUAUUUCUAUGGCACCAUACCGAAUGGCCCCAGCAGAAUUGAAGGAGUUAAAAGCACAAUUGCAGGAGCUACUUGAUAAAGGUUUCAUAAGACCCAGUGUUUCACCUUAGGGAGCCCCUAUGCUAUUUGUGAAGAAGAAGGAUGGUUCCUUAAGGUUGUGUAUUGACUACAGAGAAUUGAAUCGAGUCACUGUGCAAAACAAGUAUCCUUUACCCCGGAUUGAUGAUCUUUUUGAUCAGCCCCAAGGUGCUAAAGUAUUCUCUAAGAUUGAUUUGCGGUCUGGCUAUCAUCAAUUGAAGAUCAAGGAGUCUGAAAUACCUAAGACAGCCUUUAGAACUCGUUACGGGCAUUAUGAGUUUCUCGUUACGGGCAUUAUGAGUUUCUCGUUAUGCCUUUCGGGUUAACUAAUGCACCCGCUGCUUUUAUGGAUCUCAUGAAUAGGGUGUUCAAGCCCUACUUGGAUAGCUUUGUUAUUGUGUUUAUUGAUGACAUCUUAGUAUAUUCCCGUAGCAAGGAAGAGCAUGAGAAGCAUUUACGGAUAGUACUGCAAAUUUUGAGAGAUAAACAACUAUAUGCUAAAUUGAGCAAAUGUGAGUUCUGGCUUGAUCGGGUGGUUUUCUUGGGACAUGUUAUCUCAGUAGAUGGAGUUUUGGUUGAUCCUAAGAAGAUUGAAGCAGUAGUCAAUUGGGAUUCUCCAACUAAUGUUACAGAGGUUAGAAGUUUUCUGGGCUUAGCAAGAUAUUAUCGUCGCUUUGUUCAGGAUUUCUCCAUCAUUGCAGCACCAUUGACUAAACUCCUUCGAAAGAAUGCAAAGUUUGAAUGGUCAGAUGAAUGUCAAGAGAGUUUUGAGAAGCUUAAAACGUGUCUCACAUCAGCCCCAGUUCUUACCUUACCCUCAAGUACAGAUGGAUUUGUGGUGUAUAGUGAUGCUUCUCACAAGGGUUUAGGCUGUGUACUCAUGCAACAUGGGAAGGUGAUAGCUUAUGCUUCUAGACAGCUUAGACCACAUGAAUUAAAUUAUCCCACCCAUGAUCUGGAAUUAGCUGCAGUUGUGUUUGCAUUAAAGACAUGGAGGCAUUAUCUUUAUGGCGUGACUUGCCAGAUUUUUACAGAUCAUAAGAGUUUGAAGUAUCUUCUCACACAGAAGGAGUUGAAUUUAAGGCAGAGACGGUGGAUUGAGUUACUUAAGGACUACGACUGUACUAUUAAAUAUCAUCCAGGUAAAGCUAAUGUGGUAGCUGAUGCCCUUAGUCGCAAGUCCUUUAGUAAUUUGGCUUAUCUCAAAACAGUUCGGCUUCCUUUGUUACUAGAGAUCAGAUCCUUAAGAGUAGAACUAGCAGUGGAUGAUGCAGGAGCAUUGUUAGCAACUCUCAAAGUUCGACCAGUUUUGAUAGAAAAAGUUAGAGAAGCCCAAAAUCAAGAUGAGCAGUUAAGUAAGAUCAGUAAUGAAGUAAGAGAUGGCAUCCGUACCGACUUUUCUCUAAGGGAGGAUGAGACUUUAAUGUUUGGUGAUAGACUAUGUGUACCCAGAGUGGAAAGCUUGAAGAGAGAGAUUAUGGAGGAAGCCCAUUGCUCUGCUUACUCUAUGCAUCCAGGAAGCACAAAAAUGUACAGAGAUCUUAGAGAAAACUAUUGGUGGCCAGGUAUGAAGAAAGAAAUAGCUGACUUUGUGUCCACAUGCUUAGUUUGUCAACAGAUUAAAGCAGAACAUCAACAUCCAACAGGAAAGUUGCAACCGCUCUCUAUUCCAGAAUGGAAGUGGGAACACAUUACUAUGGAUUUUGUUUCUGGGUUACCUCGUACUUCGCAUGGACAUAAUGCAAUAUGGGUGAUAGUUGAUAGAUUAACCAAGUCAGCACACUUUUUGCCUGUCAGGAUGGAUUAUUCUUUAGACAAGUUAGCAGAGACCUAUGUCAAUGAGAUUGUAAGACUUCAUGGUGCUCCAGUUUCUAUUGUUUUAGAUAGAGAUCCAAGAUUCACUUCUCGUUUUUGGCCUAGUUUGCAAAAUGCUUUAGGCACCAAGUUGAAGUUUAGCACUUCCUUUCACCCUCAAACUGAUGGUCAAUCAGAAAGAACUAUUCAGACCUUGGAGGAUAUGCUGAGAGCUUGUGUGAUGGAGUUUAGAGGAAGUUGGGAUAGGUAUGUGCAUUUAAUGGAGUUCUCUUAUAACAAUAGUUAUCAUUCGAGUAUCGGCAUGGCUCCUUACGAAACUUUGUAUGGGAGAAGAUGCAGAACACCAUUGUGUUGGAAUGAGGUAGGGGAAAGACAAUUAGAAGGUCCAGAACUAGUACAACACACUACAGAUAAAAUUCAGAUGAUCAAAAGUAGAUUAAAAGCAGCACAAGACAGACAGAAGAGUUAUGCAGAUCUGAAGAGAAGGGGUAUUGAAUAUAAUGUUGGCGACAAGGUAUUUCUAAAGAUCUCUCCUUGGAAAGGGGUUGUACAUUUUGGCAAACGUGGAAAAUUGAGUCCGCGAUUCAUAGGACCAUAUGAGAUUUUAGAGAGAAUUGGACCAGUUGCUUAUCGUUUAGCACUACCUCCAGAGCUAUCUCAGAUUCAUGAUGUCUUCCAUGUAUCUAUGUUAAGGAGAUACAGAAGUGACCCUUCCCACAUCCUCCAGAAACAGCCUAUCGAGUUGAGGGAAGAUUUAACAUAUGAAGAAGAGCCAGUAGAGAUCAUUGCCAGAGAAGAGAAGGUUUUAAGGAGCAAGAUAAUACCCCUGGUUAAAGUUCGAUGGAGUAACCAUUCUGCUAAAGAAGCUACCUGGGAAAAAGAAGAGAAUAUACGAAUUCAAUUCCCACAUUUAUUCCCUUCACCAGGUAUGUAAAAUUUCGAGGACGAAAUUUCUAUUAGGAGGAGAGAAUUAUCAGGCCCAGGCCUAUAAAAAAAAUAUAUAUAUAGAGAGAGCAUUAAAGCUCUGGUUUCGGGAAUGUCCCAAAACAUUCCCGAAACCAAAGCAUGCUGUCUUCCUCCCUCGUGAAAUAGAGCAGAAACUCUGUUAUUCUAAAAAAAAAAAAAAAAAUUCCUCUUUUAAAUCCAAAUCUCCACCCCCUCAACUCAAUCAACCCACAAACUUCUAAGAUCCUUCAGCUAGAUCCUGAUUAAACCUAUAUCCUGCUAAGAAAUUCAAUAAUUUCUUCCAGAGACUCCAAAUUGGAUAGGUGAGUUUUAUCCCUUUUAUUCAAAUUUUUACGAUAUAAUUUAUUUUCUCUACCCUUUUAAUAGUGAUUUUUGGUAAUUUGAGAAUUAAAAGGGUAUAUGUUUUAGUUAGAUCCAAUUAAUGAGUUUUAAUAUUUCUUUUUGGGAUGAUGAUUUUUUAUAAGUUAUUGAGUAUUUUUGUUGAGUUUGGGUAUUUUUGGGAGGAAUAACUAUGCCGAAAUACUGCCGAAAUUUUCUUAAAAAUAUAUAUAAAUAUAUAUUUAAAAUUUCGUAUUUUACGUUUUAUAUUAUUGUCCUAGAGUAUUUUUUUAUUAUUAUUUGAUAUAUUAUUUAUUUUUUCUUUUUAAUUCUAGGAGAGGAUCCAGCUUCCAGGAUAGAUAAUAGGGGUCCUCCUGCGACCUAGGUCUUUUGUCCCAAGUAUUCUGGUGAGUGGAUAAAUAUAUAACAUUGAUAUUUUUCUUAAAUAUAUUUAUAUGUGUAUAUGUUACUUUGUUUAUUUAAAAUGGGAAAUGAUAAAGUUAAUUUAUAUUUCUUAAAUAAAUGAAAAUUGAAUUUAAAACACAGCUGAAUAAAUAGCCGAUUACACUCUGUAUAUGCACCGAACAGAUAACACCUUGAUGACAGGUGAUUUAUUUUCAGCAUGAUAUAUAUAUUUAUACUGUCUUUGGGACAACGCUUGAUAUACAGACAACCUUUGGGGCGUAUGUCAAGUGGUCACCCUUUGGGGGUAGCUCUGCACAUGUGUAUGACCAGCAUUUCAUUAGCUCUUGGGCCAAAUUUGUCAUUAUAGAGCCUAAGAUGCCAGCAUUGCUCUCAGGCUGUUAUUAUUUUAUUAUACCUGAGAUGCCAGCAUUAUCUGCAGGGAACAUAUUAGGAGUGUAUGCGGAUUCUAUUUUUCACAGUUUAUUUUAUGUUGAUGGAAUUAAAUUGUAUUUAUUCAGCUGACUUAUUUUAGCUAAAUAUUUGGUACUAUUAAGUACCUAAACUUAUCUUUUCCCCCUUUGUUAUUUAUUUAUCCGCUCACUGAGUAUGUUGUACUCAC
RNAcentral lists this long non-coding RNA (5321 nucleotides) under Manihot esculenta (cassava). RNAcentral describes it as "long non-coding RNA (MESC_LNC007914)". Lineage: Eukaryota; Viridiplantae; Streptophyta; Magnoliopsida; Malpighiales; Euphorbiaceae. The record is from RNAcentral.